This is a non-coding RNA of Rhopilema esculentum, 15474 nucleotides long. The record is from RefSeq and is a predicted model, not a curated record. NCBI's taxonomy places the organism in Eukaryota, Metazoa, Cnidaria, Scyphozoa, Rhizostomeae, Rhizostomatidae.
UUCAGGGAGCCAUGGUAGACAUGAUGCUUGAGCAUGCCACUGUCAUCAAGAAUGACAGUCAGGUCAUGUUAACUGCCCCCCUCUCUAAUUGCUUUAUAAAAUUUCAUAAACUUUUUAAAAAAAGUGAUAUGCCUCUCAUAGAAAGCAGCAGAAAUUUAGACAUAAACUCAACAUUUUGAUUUUUAACUAGGAAAAAGUGCGCUUAGACUUCAGGAAGCCGUGGUAGACAUGACACUCGAGCAUGGCACUGUCAACAAGAAUGACAAUCAGGUCAUGUUUCCUGCCCGCCUCUCUUAUUGCUUUAUAAAAUCUCGUCAACUUUUAAGAAAAGUGAUAUGCCUCUCAAGUAAGGCAGCAGAAAUUUAGACAUAAACUCAACAUUUCGAUUUUUUUCUAGGAAAAAGUGUGCUUAGACUUCAGGGAGCCGUGGUAGACAUGAGGCUUGAGCAUGGCACUGUCAUCAAGAAUGACAGUCAGGUCAUGUUUGCCACCCGCCUCUCUUAUUGCUUUAUAAAAUCUCGAAAACUUUUUAAGAAAAAUGAUAUGCCUCUCAUAGAAAGCAGCAGAAAUUUAGACAUAAACUCAACAUUUUGAUUUUUAACUAGGAAAAACUGCGCUUAGACUUCAGGAAGCCGUGGUAGACAUGACACUCGAGCAUGGCACUGUCAUCAAGAAUGACAAUCAGGUCAUGUUUGCCACCCGCCUCUUAUAUUGCUGUAUAAAAUCUCGUAAACCUUUUAAGAAAAGUGAUAUGCCUCUCAUAGAAGGCAGCAGAAAUUUAGACAUAAAUUCAACAUUUUGAUUUUUAACUAGGAAAAAGUGCGCUUAGACUUCAGGAAGCCGUGGUAGACAUGACGCUUCAGCAUGGCACUGUCAUCAAGAAUGACAAUCAGGUAAUGUUUGCCACCCGCCUCUCUUAUUGCUUUAUAAAAUAUCAUAAACUUUUUAAAAAAAGUGAUAUGCCUCUCAUAGAAAGCAGCAGAAAUUUAGACAUAAACUCAACAUUUUGAUUUUUAACUAGGAAAAAGUGCGCUUAGACUUCAGGAAGCCGUGGUAGACAUGACACUCGAGCAUGGCACUGUCAUCAAGAAUGACAAUCAGGUCAUGUUUGCCACCCGCCUAUUAUAUUGCUGUAUAAAAUCUCGUAAACCUUUUAAGAAAAGUGAUAUGCCUCUCAUAGAAGGCAGCAGAAAUUUAGACAUAAAUUCAACAUUUUGAUUUUUAACUAGGAAAAAGUGCGCUUAGACUUCAGGAAGCCGUGGUAGACAUGACGCUUGAGCAUGGCACUGUCAUCAAGAAUGACAGUCAGGUCAUGUUUGCCACCCGCCUCUCUGAUUCAUUUAUAAAAUAUCAUAAACUUUUUAAAAAAAGUGAUAUGCCUCUCAUAGAAAGCAGCAGAAAUUUAGACAUAAACUCAACAUUUUGAUUUUUAACUAGCAAAAGUGCGCUUAGACUUCAGGGAGCCGUGGUAGACAUGACAUUCGAGCAUGGCACUGUCAUCAAGAAUGACCGUCAGGUCAUGUUUGCCGCCCGCCUCUCUUAUUGCUCUAUAAAAUCUCGUAAACCUUUUAAGAAAAGUGAUAUGCCUCUCAUAGAAGGCAGCAGAAAUUUAGAGAUAAACUGAACAUUUUGUAGGAAAAAGUGCGCUUAGACUUCAGGGAGCCGUGGUAGACAUGACACUCGAGCAUGGCACUGUCAUCAAGAAUGACAAUCAGGUCAUGUUUGCCACCCGCCUCUCUUAUUCAUUUAUAAAAUAUCAUAAACUUUUCAAAAAAAAUGAUAUGCCUCUCAUAGAAGGCAGCAGAAAUUUAGACUCAAACUCAACAUUUGGUUUUUGCUAGGAAAAAGUGCGCUUAGACUGCAGGGAGCCGUGGUAGACAUGACGCUUGAGCAUGGCACUGUCAUCAAGAAUGACAGUCAGGCCAUGUUUGCCACCCGCCUCUCUUAUUGCGUUAUAAAAUCUCGAAAACUUUUUAAGAAAAGCGAUAUGCCUCUGAUGUAAAGCAGCAGAAAUUUAGACCUCAACAUUUACACAUAUCUUGAAAACAUACACUCAGACAUUUUAAACCUAUACACACAAAACUACUAUAACCCUCCAAAUAUUUCAAAAGAGAAGCAAGAGGCCAUUCGUAGCCUAAAACAAAUAGACAAUAUUUCAAUAAAAAAAGCUGACAAAGGAGGCCAAAAUGUAAUAUGGCCUAAAGACAUGUAUUAAUGCGAGGCCACAAAACAACAUGAAAAUGCAAACUAUUACAAAGAACACCCAGUAGAUCACACAAUUGAAACAUCCGCCGAGAUAACAACUUUUUUAACGCAUCUCCUCCACAACUACCAUAUUGAUGAAACACUUUUCGAAUAUCUUACACCUGACACGAUGGGCAUCCCAGGGAGGCCUAUACUUUCAGGUUGGAGCUCCUCUACGGAGAAACUCUCGUCAUACCUUGAACACUAUCUUAGACCGAUAGUAGAAGGAAGUGCCUCAUAUAUAAAAGACACCACUCACUUUUUACAACAAAUAUUCAAAAUACACACUAGCAUUCUACCAAACUCAUGGCUGGUUACGCUAGAUGUCAAAUCUCUAUACACCAACAUCCCCCAGGACGAGUAUCGAGGCAUGCCUCGAGGCCAUCCGGAAUCAUUAUGGGGACAACCCAACAUUGCAUACAAGUUACAUGAAACAAAUGAUGGUAUUCAUACUUAAACACAACUAUUUUAUCUUUAAUAGUAGAUUUUAUCAACAAAUUCAAGGCACUGAAAUGGGGAGCCCCUUCCCUCCCAAUUAUGACAUCUACAGAAUAACAUAUUUUACACAAUGCCCCAAUAGGGCAUACUCCAAUGUUUUGGAAAGAUUCAUUGAUGAUAUAUUUUCCAUUUGGCCACAUGCCCUUGAAGACCUACAAAUUUUUAUACAAUACACCAAUACCGUCCACGAAACAAUAAAGUUUGAAGCAAACUAUUCCAACACAAAUAUACUUGGAUACAACAAUAAACUUACACAAAUAAGGGAAAGUUACCACCUCACUCUACCAAAAAAACAACAGACACUUGCAAUCUCUUAUACUGUGAUUUUAGCAGCUACAUCUCAAAAGCAAUAUAAAAGAAAGAUUUCUACAACUCUGUUACUGGAAAAUUUAGCAAAAAGGCUUGUUACAUUAAGCAUCGACUCAAGGCUUCCCAUUUUACUCCAGGAAAUAAUCAGAGACCUUUCAAUGGAUGUACUACAAAACUUUUUGGUAGAGUUAGCAGUAUGUGGGGAAGGCAGCCUUGAUUUUUUAAAAGACUUUUGAAAGCAGUGCAAAAUCCAGACAUGGAACUACAGUGUUUGUAUCAUUAUGGGCAAAGAAGAAGAAAAUUAAUGCUGUGGAAGGAAAGUUUGUGUGACAUCAUAUCAUAUGUUCCUGCAAGUUAUGCCUUGACAGGGAUGUCCUAAAGCUAAACAUAACAGCUCGUUGUGAUAUCCAAGCAGAAAACAAGGAAUUAAACAUGAGUCCUUUUUUGCAAAGCAGGGUACAGCCAAUUCGUGCUAUGCAAGUAUGGACGUAUAGGUAAGGGUAAUAGAAACUGGCCAUUAGCCGUAGCACACCUCCCAAGCAUAAUAAGAGGCUAAUACCUCUCUGAAUCGAGGCUCUUAAGUUCAAACAUUGUUAUGGAAAUCCUUGAGAUUGCAAAUCAUUGGAUAAUCAUCAAUGGAGACAGAGUACCCUGGGAAACAGAAAAAGCCCAGAAAUUUGUUUUGGUUCAGAGUUGAGGAGUCAAAGCAAAGAAAAAACGUGUAUGUUGAGAGAUUUAGGCAUGUCCUAUUUUCGUUUCUAGAUCAACAAUGUGAAAACGGAAAAAGGGCCAUGGUAAUGUUCAAGGUUGGUAUUAUUCACUCAAGGUUUCUCAUACACUUUCUUUAAACUCUUGCUAGGUUAGGUAGAGUACCGCAAAUAAACAAACAGAAUGGUAAUGGAAAUUUUCCAAGCUUUGAUUUGUUUUUAUCCAUUUGGUUUCUUUUCAUUGCGCAUGGACUCCAAUGUUUUUACUUGCAUGUUUUUCAGGAGCAUCCCAUACCAAUAACAACAAUUAGAUUAGAAGCGAUCUGUAAGAGGCUUAUAGCCUACAUUACAGCAUUUGUUAUGUUAUGUUAUUCAAGUUGAAUCAGAUUAAGAUAUGUUUUUGUUGUGUAUAUAAUUUGUAAUGUAGCAGAAUUUGAAAUAAUGAUAAACUGAACGAAAUUCUGCACAACAAUUUCACACCUAAGAGUAGCCUAUACGGUGUCGAGUACUUUAUGACAGACGGAUUGCGUGAACAUUAAAUAUAAAUUCAAAAGUCAUUGUGUGAAAUGUUUCGAGAUGAUAUUAUAAAGAAUCAAAGAAAACACUUUCGUACGACGUUUCGCUUUCGCUUCGUCAAUAAAAUCAACCUAAAUGACCAUGGAAGAACAAUAAAAACAAAAGAAACAUAAGGGGAACCUACCUAAUACAAUGGAUAUUGUUAAAUGUAUAAAACAAAAAUUGUUAUGAGGAACCAGGAGAGAAGUUUGUAGAAAAGUAGAGAAUAGAAUGUGACACAGCAGAUGGUGUUUACUGUCUCACAAUGAUAGUAAGAUUUGAAAUUCAAAAGACAAAUCUGAGACAUCAGAUUUCAGAAAUCAGUGGUAAAAGAAAGAGCAAACAAUAAUGAAAGGAAAAUAAUAUCAAAAACAGGUGAAGAAUAGAAGCCAUUGACAUAUGCAUAAAAAUUCCAUCUGCCUAGUAUCAAGACCCAGAAGAGAGAAAGCAUAAGAUAUCGCCAAAAUUUCCCUUUCUCCUAUCAUUACCUAUUAAACUUUAAUAAUCCUUCUGUUUCCUUUUGUAGAAAACAAUGUGAACACUGUGAAGCGUCUCUCUGAGGAGCAAUGUUGUCAAAGGUAAGUAACAUGAUGUUUUGUACAUUCCACAACGGAAAAAACAAAAAAAGCACAGCUUAAGGAUAAGAUAUAGUACUUUGCCUAAAACAGAAAUAGUAACAAAAAACUUUCAAUUCUCUCAAUUUUCAAUUCUCUUUCAAUGAUACAUUGAUUUUGCGAGCAUUAGCAGAACAGUUUAUUUCCAAAUAAAAUUAAUAACUGGGUAUCAACCUUUGCAUCACUCAUUUUCCUCUAGCUUGAUAGCUUUACUUACUGCUUACUUCUAAAUGGUGAAGAUCAAUACUAUGUCUAAAUCUGUAUAACAAGGCUGUUUAGUUUUUAGCAAAGAAAUCAUAUGACUUUGUCACCACUUUAUUUUAUUUGGUUAGAUUUAGUUAUGUUUGAUUAUUUCUAUUUCUCCUCAGUCUAUUAAACAUAGAACUGACAAAUCUUACAGGAAUUAUUUUGUGAGUUGAAAUAUUUCUUGCUAUCCAAAUCCUUGCUAAAUUUAGGAAAAUGCGAUGAUCUUUGUUUAUCUUUUAGGAUAACUUGAGCAGACAUGACACAAUUACAAGAGGGCAACUCCCUGCCAUCAAAUUUCCAACAACAAGGCAUGCUGCAGAUGUUAUAUACACCAAAGUCCAAAACCCUGGUUUUAAUAAGUUUGAAAAUGUUGAUUGUAUGUUCCCACUGUUUGAUUGUCAUGCUGCAAUGUCUACCCUUGAAUCCAAGGCUAAUGGUUACAAUGCAAUAAAAGCUUGGGGAAAGUGCUACUCUAUUAAGGACCUUGGAAACAUGAUUACUGCCCAUAAACUUAUGAAGGUAAAGACUGAUGUAGAGCAGGAAAUGCAAUGGUUUCAGAAAGAACCUCAACCACCGACCCAAGCUUGCAUCAUUCCUGACAACAUGGUAGUCAAAGCAUUUGAUGAAAUGUUGUUAUCAAAUCCAAAUGGGAAAGUGUUAUAUGGCAAAUGCACAUUAACAGAAGAUCUUGCUACUUUUUGCUGCUCACGAUGGGUCUCACUUCAAGCCAUUGAUGCAAUUAUCUCAAUAAUCAACGAGAUGAACCCAAAGCGAAAAGUAAUCUUGCAUGGAAUCAUCAGGGGCAUGUCUGUGCAUGCACGCAACACGGCCCAAAGAGAGCCCGAAAUUCAAAACUCAAAGCCUUAAUUCAGCUGCUCUUUGAAAAAAAUGGCAAACAGUUAUAUUUGUCUCCGAGCCAAUUCAAGAUCUCUAAAAAGCGAAAGAAAACCUUGAUAUUGAGAGAGAUAUUGAAACUAUCACAGUUUGCCUCCUUGAGCUGGAAGACAUUGACAUAAAGCACAAUGGCAAUAACAUAAUUACAAAAGUUUUGUAAUUUGUUUUCGCUUUAUUCAUUUUACUUUUUGUCUUAUAAAACCUCUCUAUCAUGCGAUAAUAUGCCUAAUUUGCUUCUCUCAUUACUUGAUCACCAGGUAAGUAUGUAUUGCAACCCUGAUAUCUAUUUAGCUACCUUAAUGAAAACCUCAGUUCUAAAAGCCAAUCUAAGUCGCAUUUCCGCAUUUUGCAUUCAAUUCAUUGCAGAAAUUCAUUUCAACAGAAACUUUAUCGAAUAUCCAAUUGAGUUUCAAGAUCUUAACCUCAAGAAUAUAACGCUUGUUUCAAUUAAAUUCCAAGGUUACAGCCCAGUCAGGAUAUUAUAAUAUUUUUAAGUCGGUUUAGUUUUAGGAUCAAACUUGUCACACACUUAACACUAUGAAAGUUAUAAUUUCUAAAUUAAGGCCCUUCCUUCUGGGUAAAAAUCUUUCUUUUCUCAAUUGUGAACCAUUUUUCAUUUUUGUGCCCUCUUAUGUAGAAUUUAUCAGAUAAUUUAAUGAUGUUUUCAUUUUCUAUCGGUUGUACUUCAAAAACUUGAAAAAAGUUCAUUUCUCAAUACUGGUUGAUACUGGAAAUGACUUUUUGAAGAAAAAAAUAUCCUUUGAUGAUGACUUACCCUAUUUUUCAUUCCCUCUCCCAUCUAAACACUAUAAAGCUUUGGUUACCUUGUGUUACACAUUCUUUCUGCUGUUGAACACCCUGUGAUAUCAUUACCCUAUGCAAAUGAAAAUUGGUCGAUCUGCUGGCAUGCUCAAUCUUUGUAAAUAACUGUUGGAUAUUUUCACCUUUAGUCAAAUUUUUUGAUAAGUAAUGCGACAAACUAAGAAUAACCAAUUCAAGGGAACUCAGCAUCAAUUUAUAAAAGAAGACGUGGACUCCAAGAUAGCUGAAAAGUUCAGCAUCAGCUGAUCGGCCUAGGCCUUUGCCUGGCACACUCACAAAUUUUGUUGCUGUUGAAGGAAGUAGGAUAGUAGAUAUGAAGUUGUUGCAGGACCCACUAACAGAGGCCUAUCUUUGCUCUGGAGGAUUGAAAGCGACAAGGCUGAUGAAGUCGACAAACUGGCAACUUUAGCUGCUGUUGAGUCAGGUCUUAGAAGAGAAGGACUUGCUGACAUAACUUCAAUUCUAAAUAUCCCUCCUCCUGUCAGUGAUUCCAAUUUCUCAAACCAUUUGUCAAAGCUUCUUUGUGUUUCAAGAUCAGUAUGUAAUGAACACAUGACAAAUGCUGCCCAGCCCAACGACUUAUAAAUAACCUCAACAGUGAACUAGAAGUGGAAAAUAAUACAGUUUUCAAUUUUGCUGUCUCUUAUCAUGGUACAAGGUCCAAGAGGGGUUUCACAGCUUACCAUGGUGUUGGAGCUGUGAUGUCAGUUGAUACUGGAGAAGUGCUGGAUAUUGAGGUUCUCGCUAAAGUUUGUGAGAUCUGCAAACAAAACAAGGCUAGAAAAGAUGAAUCAGCCUUUGAGAAAUGGAAGACCAAUCAUAAAGCAGAAGGUUCAUGCCAGGCAAAUCAUGAGAGUUCAAGUCCAAACAUGGAAACAGAGGCAGCCUAUCGAUUAUGGGGCAGAUCUAUCCAACAACAUAAUCUUAGAUACAAAUGGAUUAUCAGUGAUGGUGACAGUAAAGCAUAUCAGAAAGUUUCAGAGAUCUAUGGGAUAUCUGAGACAAACAAAGUUGAAAAGUUGGACUGUAUUGGGCAUGUUGGGAAGGGAUGUAUAGGGCUUUAAAUGGGAGCAAAACUACAACUAAGGGGAAGUUGUUGGCAAACCAGUUGGGGAAAGGAAAGGAUGCCUAACAGAGCAAGUUGCUAGAAGGCUCAGUGAAUUAUAUAGGAAUGGAAUUAGGCAGAAUGUGGACCCAGAAGCAAAGACAGAGGAGCAAAAAAAAGCUGACAUUGAAAACCUGCAAAAAACAUUAAAGCAGUUCUGUACCGCUCUGUUAAAAUUACAAAUGCAGAGAGAAGACAUCAGUACUCCCCAGAAAAGUUCUGGUGCGAACAUAAGAAAGUUGGUGAAAAUGAGGAGAAAGACUAUCAUUUGGAUCCGCCUUUUCUAGAACUUCUACAACCAACAUUUGAUAGAAUAUCUGAAGACAAGCUGGUUGUCAGGUUUCUCUCAGAAUCAAAAUGAGAGAUUGAAUAGUCCCAUUUGGAAGCACGCUCUGAAGCAUACCUGGCAAGGUCCAAAAGGGUAAAACUUGCUGCUUAUCUGAAAGUUCUACAUUUUAAUAAUGGCGAUUAUGCAGUAAAAACUGCUAUCUUGUCCUAUAUGGAAAUAAAUUCUUCAAAAUGGCUUGUAGAUUCAGCAAGUAGAAAAGAUCAAAAAAGGCUAUACAGAGCCAGACGUUAUACAGAAGAUUUAGUAAAACAAAAGAGAAAGUCACUUGUGUUGGAGAAUCAAGCGUCUGAAGAGAGACAAAUAGAAAAUGAAGGUAUAACCUACAAAAGUGGAUUGUUUUGAUCUUCAGAUACUUUUGAGAUUUUCAAAGAACAUUAUCUUAGAUAUUUAAACCUUUCUCCAGUUACUGUUCUUCAAUAGGAAAGCAACAUUUCCCACACAAUAUAUUGCUAAACUUCAAAGCCUAUCUUCUCCUAAUGUGAUUUUUAGAUACCUGUCAUGAUUCAAAUUGCUGAGGCUUUUAAAUAGUAAAACAUUUUGUGUUCAAAUUUGGAGAGGUUGUCUAUAAUUAAAUUUAUCUUCAUCUUAUUGAGAAUUUUUCAUGGGACUUUGGAAAAGGAACCUUGGACCGAGUAAACAUUUGAUAAUGUAUAUCUAUGGUUAAAAAAAGAUAUCAGAAAACUCUCAAUAGGAUUUUUCCUUGCUGUAGAUUUGUCCAAAUUUUAUUAUAUUAUCUCUUUAAUUUAAGGUUACGGUAAACGUUUUGAACACGAAAAUUGGUUUUUCCUUCCUAAAGGCCAAACGGCUCAAGAAAUCUGGAUAAACUAUAUAUCAUUUGAUGCACAAGAUUAUGGCGUAUCUAGCCAGAUAAAAAUUAUUGGCAAAUAAUGUGAAAUGUUAUUUCCCAUGCGAAUUUACUGGUCAAAAAGUGUACCACCUUCAAAAGCUAUUAUGUACCCUUGCGUUUGAGGUAACAAAAUCUGACUUACACCAGCAGGAAGUGCAGGUCCUAAGCUACCAAAGUGUGUCUCAGAUUUUUUAAAUUCCUCCUCUUUAUGAAACUAUACCCUGUCAAAAAUUGGCAAAUAAUUUUUCCACCCUCCCACAACUGUAUUUGGGUAUAAAAGACGGACCAGAGAAAAUAAAAAAAUUUUGAGACACCCUUUGUUUGCCCAACGUCUGCCCUGGCCGUGUGCAAAUUUUCGAGCCAUUCAAUUGGUUCCUUGGGUACAUAAUAGCUUUUUCGUACCUGCAUGUAGAGGAAUUUCGAGUCCGGAGAAAACGGGAUUUUACUGAUCGCACUUGCAAGAUACACUCGUAAACCACAGUCUAAUCCGGGUCAAGUCACUUGAAGAUUUAAGAUCAAUAAGCCUGUUUAAAUAAACACGGCCGUACAUUGGAUAUAUGGAUGUGCCAUGCGAUAUUGUAAAUGAGACAUGCGACCACAACCGCAAAGCAACGAUAACCAGCUUAACAGGUCAAGAGAUUUUCAGGCCUCAACUAAAAGUUUUGAUAAAGAAAUUAUGGAAACCUUUGGUUACAUGGGAUUUUUUCAACUUCAAAAUUUUUGUUUGUUUCAAAUUUGGUAUCACUGUAUGCCUUGAAAGUUCGGCUACUUGAAUGUGAAAAAAUCGAAAAAAUGAUGUUUUCAUCAAGAAAACGUUUACCGUAACCUUAAAGAGUUCUGUUAAUGAUAUCUGACAUCAGCAAAUAGAAAGCCAUGGUUUUGUAACCAUAACAACAACUAAUUAAAAAGUGUUGGCUAUGUUUUAUUUUUGUAAAAUUCUUUCAAAGACCUUUCAAAUGAUGCAUUGUGAAAGAUGUUCACACAAGGGAACAUUGAUCUGCUUUUUUAAAAGUAGACAAUUGACCCAGAAGCGGGGCCUUAAGUUGGUAUUGAUAUCGAAACAUCCAUAAAAUUUGAUGGCUGCACUCCAAAGCGGUGGUUGCACUGGACAGUGACUUGAUAUUUAACAAAACAGCUGUGAAUGAACAGAGAUAUUGCCCCCCAGGUUUCACUGUUUCUGGAAACAGGGAAGCAAAAAUAACAACGGGUAGUAUCCAGCAUGACAUAGGAGGAAUAUAAACCCAUGUAAGAAAGCAGCUAAGGAAAUAAGAGACAUGCUUAAAGAUUUUCUAAUUCUCUUGAAGGUGCUGUGCCAUGAGUUUGUUAACAAAUGACAAGUUUGGCUGACAGAAACAUUUUUGGAAAGAGGUUUGGCUGUAUAAAUCCCAUAAAUUUUCCUAAAAUCUCUUUGGCCUGGUAAUAAUUGAUUGAAGGCAGAAAGCUACUUUGGUUUAUAAAAAAUCAAUUUGCCUUCAUUGAAUCCAUUGCAACCACAUCAACAUGUCUAUAUUAUUUUUAAAAGACCUGAAUGAAGACAGACUGACUGUAAUUUUACUGACACCAACCUUUCAAUUCAAAAAACCUUUUGAUAACUGAGCUUGAUGCAUCAGUUGCUAUUUCACCAAGGUCAAGUUUGCUCAUCAGUCUAUGUAGAAAGAGCCCCUUUCCAUGUUACUUGACACACCACCUGUUUUUUUCCCAUAACCCCUUCGCAACUAGGCCUUCCCUGCUGUCUCUUUGGUUUAGCUUCUAUCCGUAAUUGAACUUCUACCAAUUACCGCUGGUCGAAUGCACGUAGGUGCUUAGGCCAAAAUUUAUUUUAGAUAAUCAGAAAUUCAGCUGUGCUGCAAAGGGGUCUUGAUGACAAUGGCUUGUUAAACGUGAUGACAAUGGCUUGUUAAACAUGACAAAGCUCUGAAGCGAGGUGAUUCAGAAAGAUGUGUAUCAGGACACAGUAUUGUUAUGCAUAAACGGAGGGACUGAAAUCAGUGAGAUAAAGCACAAACAAAAGAAUGGCUCAAGAAAGAUUUUUAGUUGCCCAAAAGCACUCAUCAGUUACAACAAUAACAUGAGUAGAGUUCAUAAGGCAGAUUUUACUGUGCAAUUUGUGGCAUCAACAGAAAAAAAAAGAAAUGGUGGAAAAAAACUUUUUUGGCCUUAUUGACAGAACCAUCACAAAUGCCUAUAUCACAUUCUGUAAGGCUACUGAGCAGAAGAUUCCAAGCCUGCUCUUCUGUAAUGUGACACUUGCCCUUCUCACACUAGGAAAGCCUUAUAAAAUUUGCCCAUGACACAUCCCUGUUCAUUGAAAUCCUUCUUUUUAAUAGAUAUAUAUGUUUAUAACAUUGAAACAUAAAGGUCUACCAUAUAGGUUUUGAAUGUUUUGUUCAUUAUAACAACAUGACGACUUUAUCAUCAAUUUGUUCCAUGUAUAUGUCCGGGUUUAACGAAUUUUUCAUUACAUAGUCAAAUGAGGUUAUUAGAUUAGAGCAAUCAGGACUUAGCAGUAUCUUGUGACUUUCUGACUCAGUUAUUCUGUUUACCUUAUUUCCUUAUUGCUUAUAACAGUUACACUGAAGCUUGAGCUAUUUGACGUAAAUUGAAUGCAGCAUUGUCAUUGGUAAUUUAUUUUGCAUUAACUAUAGUAUAUAUAGAUCGUAAAGGGUUUGUUUAUGUGGGUGCAACUGGCAGUGACUUUGCAGACUUAGCUGAUAUGUUGAUAAAUGAUCUGUGAAAAGCAGAGAUGAAUGCUUCUUUGGUGUCUUCUCUUAAACAAAAAGUUCAAAAGAAUCAGCAAGGAUAAAUCCUGACAGGUCAAAAAAUCUGGUCCAUCGAUCCUGCAUGUAUUUGUGUUCUACUGAAUGAACCAUGGAUGGAUUGAAGUAGAAGAGAAAUAUUGGAGGAAGGCGUAAAGCUUUUGCAACAUAGGUAAUCAGGCAAAUUGAGGAUAAUUUGGAUGAUAAAUCAAAGUUGAAGCAGCUUGAGAUACAGGUAGACGAAAAAUACUGGCUACCCCCAACAAGUUAUUCGCAGGUAACAGUUUUAUUUACAAGAGUGCAGUUCAUCAAAAAGACCAUAUUUCAAAGAUUGAUAAGUUCUUGUACUUGAAGAAUUACUUGGAAGAACCUGCCAAAAAAGUAAUAGCUUGUUUUUCUUCAAGUGAAAAUAACUAUGUCAGAGCUUUCAAUAUCCUGGAACAGAGAUCUCUAACCAACCUCAAUAAAAGGGAACAUAUCAAUAAGCUUCUAAAUGUAGAUGUUGUUUUUAAUGAGAAACAUGUUACGAGGAGGCUCAAACUUUAUGACACUAGUCCCCAUCAUGAAUUGAGACCCUUAGGAGUUGAGUAAACAUCAUAUUCGGACAAAUGUGUACAUGUUUUAACAAAGGUUACAGAGGCUUUUUGUCUGAGCAUGAUUCGAGGAAGGAAGAAUCAGGGUUGUCGCAAGGCAAGGCUUGUUGGGAGGGUGUGGACUGAAAAUUAACCUAAAUAUAAAAUUUUUGCCUGGAAUUCUUUAGUUGCUGUCACAAACAUCUGAAAUGCAUUUUGUCAAUCUAACUCUGUAAAUAAUUCGCAACCCCUUUUAAACCCCUUGUAAAUAAUUCGCAAGCUCUACCCUUCUAGAAGAUAAUGUUGAGAUGGUUGUAAAGGUAAUAAAAAACCCAAGCAAUCUUAAAAGGAGUAUUUUCAGUACACUUGCAAAAGUUAAGAAUAAUUUUUCCAAAAUAUAUUAGCCCAUUUAUAAGAUUGCUGAUGCAGGCAAAACCUCUGAUUGCUUUGUUUUGAAAAGCAGGGGGAUCUCCUUGAAUUUUUUAGACUCUUUGAGCAAGGGAAAUGCUGUUUUGCCUAAUGACGCCAAGGUUAAACUUAAUGCGUCUUGGAUUAACUUCAAAAACUGGGUUUGUAUAUUUUGUUGUGAUGAUAAUGAAAUAAUUUUUUAGGAAAGUCUUCGCACAGCAGUUUUAAAAGUGAAGAAAAGAGUUACUGACCUCAAAAAGCACCAACAAAAGCAAGAUGUAAACAUUUUUCUUAAUGAUUUUUUAUUAAACCAGUUAAUAGAUAUGAGAAAAGAAAGCAUGAGUUAGUUUCAGGUGUGUCAAAUUCUCAGCACAUUAAUGUUAAAGAGAAAACAACGAUGAUUACAAUGUUAUUAGAAAGGUUAGAUGAAAUUGAAGUUAGAAUAGGUUAGUUAAUUGAUAGAUUGAAUGAGCAGAAAUAUAGAAGAAUACUUGCAGAAGGCAAUGCUGAGAAAAUUUAAGAUGGAGUUCAAUGAUGCUGUCAAUGAUUUGAAGGCUAGGGAGGAGGUGUUAAAAGAUCUUGUUGGGAAAAUUGAUACAUUAUAUGCAAAGAAUAAUAAUCAGAAGAUAAAAAGAAUACGCCAGAUGCAUAAUAAAUUAGAAGAAGAGGAGAAAGAAGAUGUGCUUGUAGAUUUAUCCACAGAGUUACUUGACAGAGAUGAAGAGCUUGCAGAGAAAGACCAGGAGAUAGACAAACUAGUAGAAAAUCUAAACAAAGCCAUCCAUGAAAAAUUAUCUGCACAAAAAAAUUAAAACUCAUUAGAAAACACAAUUAAGAAAUAAAUCUAUUGAAAAUAGCAUCAAUAUAUUUAAUUCAAAGAUUGAUGAUUUGGAAGAAAGAAUAACUGAAUUUGAGAAUGAGAAGUUGUAAAGAUUAAAUGUUUUUUGAAGGGACAUGAGAUUUAUUUUUAUGAAAAUGGGAAAUUUGUUGAUGAGAUUCGUAUGCUGUAUGAAGACCUGCUUUGUUUAGGUGUUAGCACGAAUAAUGUUGAGAUGUUAUUAGGAAAUGUAUGAAAGUUGUUGAAGUCAAUGUCCAUAAUCUGCCAAAGUCCACAUUUGAUAAGUAUAUGCUCUAUGAGCAUUGGCACAGCUUCAUGUUUUUGAUGAAUUAAAAGAAAAGUGGAGCACAGAGAACAGGACUUUGCUUUCUGAUGGAACUUAAAGGAAAGGCAGAUCAUUUAUAACGUAUGAUAUUGUCAAAUAUGAUGGAGUAUGUUUAAUAACUGGCCUGAGGGAAAUUGCAAGUGAAGAUUCUGCUACACAGAUAAAAGUUUUGCAAGAUGUACUUGGUGAUGUUUGUUUGAUGUUUCUUUCCUUGUUUCAGGAAAGAUGUUUUGCCAAGUGUUGUUGAGGGUUCGGAGUCUCUGACUAAUCGAUGUUGGGAAUUUUGGUCUUGUUGUUGAUGGUUGGGUUAAGAAAAUUAUAAAAAGUAUAAAGAAUGUGAUGUCAGAUCAUUAUGCUGUUCAAACAAAGUUUGAUAAUUUGUUUACUUGUUUCAGAAAAGAUGUUUUGCAAAGUGUUGUUGAGGGUUGGGAGUCUCUGACUAAUAUGGAAAAAGCUAAGUUAAGUAGAGUGAACAAGUUUUUUUGGGUUACACUAUCUUGUAGCACUAGCAGAUCAAGCAGAGGCUUGUUGCAAAAUUUGGGAUUCUUUGUGUUGGGAGGACAAUAAAAUUAGUUCUUUGGCAACCUUGGGGUACAGCAAAGGUGAAUCAAGGACAUACAGGUUGAUCCAAACUGUUUGUAAAUCAGUGCAAGAGAGAGGAUGCGAGAGGUCUGGACAGAUGAUCAAUUUUAAAACCUUUUUAGAGCAAGAAAGAAAUCUUAAUGGAAUUCCUUUGGCACCAUUUUUUGGUAAUUGCUUCAAUAUUUUAUUUCACAAUGCUACUGGAACUUAUUUUUUAGAAGAACAUUUGAAGAUUUUUUUAGCCUUAUGGGAAAGAGAACAAGCUUCUCACAGCAAUUAAAUACGUUCUUGAAGUUACAUCCUUUCUAUUAGCAUGCAGAUCUCUAGGUAUCAUAGAUAAAUUAAUAACUCGACCAGUCUGGAGAGCAAAUAUUGUAAUCGAUUCAAUAUUUUAUUCCACAAUGCUACUGGAACUUAUUUUUUAGGAGAACAUUUGAAGAUUUUUUUAGCAUUAUGGGAAAGAGAACAAGCUUCUCACAGCAAUUAAAUAAGAUCUUGAAGUUACAUCCUUUCUAUUAGCAUGCAGAUCUCUAGGUAUCAUAGAAAAAUUAAUAACUGGACCAGUCUGGAGAGCAAAUAUUGUAAUCGAUUCAAUAUUUUCACAAUGCUACUGGAACUUAUUUUUUAGGAGAACAUUUGAAGAUUUUUUUUAGCAUUAUGGGAAAGAGAACAAGCUUCUCACAGCAAUUAAAUAAGAUCUUGAAGUUACAUCCUUUCCAACAGCAUGCGGAGCUUUAGGUAUCAUAGAUAAAUUAAUAACUGGACCACUCUGGAGAGCAAUUUCAAAAGAUGGACAUAUUUUA